This 1542-nucleotide long non-coding RNA is filed under the name Homo sapiens (human). RNAcentral's name for it is "HSALNT0050198". The record is from RNAcentral. Lineage: Eukaryota; Metazoa; Chordata; Mammalia; Primates; Hominidae.
GUUAGCUGUUAGGCUUUCUUUAAUGUAUUUACAAAUGAUUUUAGCAAAAUAAUUUUAUUUUAGCAAAAUAAUUUUUAUUGAAAGAUACAUUUAUUUCUUCAGUUUUUUUCAAAUAUUAUUGUUCUUAACAGUGCUUGGUGUGGUCCUGGGCAGAGAAUGAUGCUUAAAACAUGUAUUUGCUUUCUGGACUGAUUUAUACAGCCAACUGUUGGCAAUUUGUUUUCCCUUGGUUUCCUUAAUAAAAUAAGGGCCAGGCAAGGUGGCUUAUGCUUGUAAACUCCCAGUAGUUUGGGAGGCCAAGGCUGGUGGAUCACCUGAGGUCAAGAGUUUGGGACCAGCCUGACCAACAUGGUGAAACUCCAUCUCUACUAAAAAUACAAAUUAUUAGCCAGGCGUGGUGCACAUGCCUGUAAUCCCAACUACUCUGGAGGCUGAGGCAGGAGAAUCGCUUGAACCCGGGAGGAGGAGGUUGCAGUGAGCUGAGAUCGUGCCUAAACUCCGGAUUUUGGUGGGUAAAUAAUAUAUCUCUGAAAUAAAUAAAAUAAAUAAAAAUAAAAUCCUUCGAAUAUUGUCAUUUGAAAAAACAUCAGAAAUGCUGGUAUGUUGCUAUUUUAAAACACAUACUUUAAAAUCUAGUUAGAUGUGCCUUAGAAGAUCCUUAUUUUGUUUGGAGUAAAGCUCUGGAGGAAAGCUCACGCGAUGACUCUUUAAAUAAAGAUAGCAAGUUGCAGCUCAAUGAGAGUGAAAAGAAAUCUUGAUGUAAAGUGUUUUGUUCCCUACACCCAUUAAAGAGAAGGAGUAAGCUAGGCUAAAAUGUUUGUGGGUAUAUCAUGUUAUUCCUGGAACUGAAUGCUCUGUUGGAUAGAAUCCUAUUCUUAAGCAGUGAUUAAUUAAUGUUUAUAAAUCACUUCAAAGAUGGAAAGCAUUGUAUAAAGUCUAAUCAUUUCUAUUAUAGUGAUUUUUUUCCAAGAAGUAUAUUGACUUUUUGCAAUAGCAGUUUGAAAAAGCAUGCAUUUGUGACUGAGGCCAGGUAUCAUGCCUGGAGGAAAAUAGUAAUUGGAAAGUUUGAAAGGUAAUAAUUCUGAGAUACUGAAAAUUUAGGUGAAUUUAUAAUAGCAGACUAUUAUAAAUUAGUCCAGUCUGCAUGGACUAAAUAAUUUUAAUUCAAACGUGAAGUAAUCUACAUCUAUUCAUGACAGUUUUCAGCCUGUGAAAUAAAUGUCAUAGCAACAGACUGUGUUCCUGAAAUGAUAUAUACCUGUAACAAACCUCAGGUAAUCUCAGGGGCUUUCAUAGUAACAAUAAUGAGUUUAGGGAACUUUUAUUACCUGUAACUGCAGUAGUUAUAAAACCCCCCAAAACUAAAACUAACUUGGAACAGAUUCAUUUUAGCCUAUUUUUGUUGACAGAAAGCGUAAUUAGAUAUAUUACUGGCCUUUUUUCCUUAUCUGUGUAAAAGUGAAAAUGUUGUAAUUUAGGCAUCAAAAUUACUGUUGUAUUUAGACUUGCAAACAUACUGAGAUAUUUUCAUCUUCUAAAUUC